CUUAGGCUAAUGCUAGGCUAACGUACCCGUACAAUUAAUUAUCUUGAGUUAUUUUUUAAGUGGUUUCGUAAACCUAUGUUUAAUUCGAACUUUUAUUACUUCUUUUUUUACACUCGUUACCUACGAUAUUAAAAAUGUUGGGUUAAGAACUCGACAACAUUUAUGUGUAUUGCUCUAUCUUGUCACACGGUGACAGAUUUGAGCCACUUCACCUGCAUCAUGGCGUUUCCGGAAUAGGUGGAGCAUUGGGGAAAAGCGGGAUCGUUUGAAAGCUUCGGCGCACCGCUGAGUUUGGUUAUGGAGCUGCUAAUGGCGACCGUGUCCUGAUUCCAGAAAAUAUCUACUUUUGGUCCACUGUACAAAGAUGAUCUUCAAACAGGGAACAAAGGACAAAAGCAUUUACGGGCG
Cynoglossus semilaevis (tongue sole) is the source of this 408-nucleotide long non-coding RNA. RefSeq lists it as uncharacterized. The transcript is spliced from 3 exons. NCBI's taxonomy places the organism in Eukaryota, Metazoa, Chordata, Actinopteri, Pleuronectiformes, Cynoglossidae. The record is from RefSeq and is a predicted model, not a curated record.